ACAAUGAAGAGAUGAUUUGCUCUAUGUACGAAUUCCCCAAUAUCAUCUGCCUCUAGUUCAGUAUUGUUGUCAUUCAUGUGGAUGGGUGGGACAGAGCUGACAGUUUUCCUUCUGGAGAGAAGCAGCCUGUGACUGCUUUGCUGACAGAGGUGCUGACUCCAGGCAUCAACGAGCAUCGCAAGGAAGCCAGGGUCAUGGGUCCAGGCAGAUCCCUGCUCCCAACUGGUCUCUGUUUCUACAGGUAGCCAGAGAGGCCACAGCAAGCAUCUACAGCAAGGGUGGGGUUCCCUGGGGUCAAAGUCACAGAGAAAUGGGGAACCCUGGAAUGCAAGGGCAGGGAGGGACUUGCCAACCAGAUUCAGCAAACAUUUGCUCGGUGCCUCCAGGAUGUACUAGGCACGGGGCCAGCCUGGGCAACAAAGCGAGACCCUCAUCUCUACAAACAAUUAAAAAAUUAGCUGGGCUUCGUGGUUCACGCCUGU
This 482-nucleotide long non-coding RNA is filed under the name Homo sapiens (human). RNAcentral's name for it is "non-protein coding lnc-ROCK2-4:1". Lineage: Eukaryota; Metazoa; Chordata; Mammalia; Primates; Hominidae. The record is from RNAcentral.